Molecule: ribosomal RNA, 888 nt
Filed under: Sordariomycetes sp.
Lineage: Eukaryota; Fungi; Ascomycota; Sordariomycetes
Description: eukaryotic LSU rRNA
Rfam family: Eukaryotic large subunit ribosomal RNA (bases 414-888)
Source: RNAcentral
GAGCGGCCCGCCCCGCGGCGCGCCAACAGGCCUGCCGAAGGACCCCUAAACUCUGUUUUGCACCUGUAUCUCUGAGUUUAUUAUACAAAUAAGUUAAAGACUUUCAACAACGGAUCUCUUGGUUCUGGCAUCGAUGAAGAACGCAGCGAAAUGCGAUAAGUAAUGUGAAUUGCAGAAUUCAGUGAAUCAUCGAAUCUUUGAACGCACAUUGCGCCUAAUAGUAUUCUGUUAGGCAUGCCUGUUCGAGCGUCAUUUCAACCCCCAAGCCCUAUUUGCUUGACGUUGGGAGUUUACGGAGACGUAAUUCCUCAAAUAUAGUGGCGGAGCUAGGUCGUGCUCUAAGCGUAGUAACCAAAUUCUCGCUUCUGAAGCCGGCCCGGGUCCUGCCGUAAAACCCCCUAUAUUUUUCUGGUUGACCUCGGAUCAGGUAGGAAUACCCGCUGAACUUAAGCAUAUCAAUAAGCGGAGGAAAAGAAACCAACAGGGAUUGCCCUAGUAACGGCGAGUGAAGCGGCAACAGCUCAAAUUUGAAAUCUGGCCUUCGGGUCCGAGUUGUAAUUUGCAGAGGAUGCUUUUGGCGCGGUGCCUUCCGAGUUCCCUGGAACGGGACGCCUUAGAGGGUGAGAGCCCCGUACGGUUGGACACCAAGCCUCUGUAAAGCUCCUUCGACGAGUCGAGUAGUUUGGGAAUGCUGCUCUAAAUGGGAGGUAAAUUUCUUCUAAAGCUAAAUACCGGCCAGAGACCGAUAGCGCACAAGUAGAGUGAUCGAAAGAUGAAAAGCACUUUGAAAAGAGGGUUAAAUAGCACGUGAAAUUGUUGAAAGGGAAGCGUUUACGGCCAGACCUUUUCCUGGCGGAUCAUGUGGUGUUCUCACCAGUGCAUUUCGCC